GCCGCGGCCUGGCCCGGGCGCUCACCCUCCCCUCGGGGCUCCCGGGCCCAGCGCACCCUGGCCUUGGCCCCAGCGCCUGCGUUUUCCUGGGCGGCCGUGGGGGUGCAGAGCGGGCCCCCCAGGACGGUUCACUGUGUUAACGUCAGACUCGCCCGCUUCAGGCUUUUCAUUUUCCACCCACCGGGUGGGGGACACGCAGCCGUGGCAGUUUGUGGGUCUGCACUGCGUUUUGGGGUCAGCUGCAAGGCAUGUACUUUAGCUCAAGACUGGUUCAUGUGUUUUUCAUGGUUCUCGUGACCUCUGCAGAAGCCCCAGCUCUGGAAAGAAAGAAGGAGCUGUUAAAUCCAGAACAUUUUCCUUAGAAUGUAUUUAUCAAAUCAGAGAUGAAAAGAAAAUGAAGGAACUGGGCCACAAGGAAGAAAAGAAGUGAAGAAUCCAAUACAAUCUGGGUCAUUUCAAACCAGCCACAGAGAACCUGCAUUUGGGGGACAUAUUUCAGGGAAGACACAGCCUACCAUUCAGAAUCCUCCCGAAUCUAUGAGACAAAGUGCUUCGGUGAAGCUCAGAGAUUCAGUUUGGAGUUGCUACCAAAGAGCCAACAAUCUGGACAGAUGGGCCCGGACCUUGGGUUGGAAUGGUCAGGAUUUCUCUAUGAAACCGCUCCUCCAGGGGAACACUCCUCCCUACCUCGAGAUGCUUUCUUUUAUAUGGGAGGCACUCGGGGCGUAUAUACCCUCCCCUGGUCUGCCUCUUGCUGACUCUGACCUGGAGGAGGAAGACUGAUCUGAUUAAUACACUUGUG
RNAcentral lists this long non-coding RNA (802 nucleotides) under Vulpes vulpes (red fox). RNAcentral's name for it is "lncRNA (ENSVVUG00000009806.1)". Lineage: Eukaryota; Metazoa; Chordata; Mammalia; Carnivora; Canidae. The record is from RNAcentral.